AUCUGGCUGAUGAGUCCCGGAUAGGAUGAAACGCACGUACUGGAU
This is a non-coding RNA of Schistosoma margrebowiei, 45 nucleotides long. The record is from Rfam. Lineage: Eukaryota; Metazoa; Platyhelminthes; Trematoda; Strigeidida; Schistosomatidae.